UCGAGCGAGGCGCAAGCCUAGCGGCGAACGGUUGAGUAACACGUAGGCAACCUGCCUCCGAGUGGGGGACAACCCAUGGAAACGUGGGCUAAUACCGCAUGUGGCCUGGGGAACGCCUGUUCCCUCGGCUAAAGGAGCAAUCUGCUCGGAGAGGGGCCUGCGGCCUAUCAGCUUGUUGGUGGGGUAACGGCCUACCAAGGCGACGACGGGUAGCUGGUCUGAGAGGAUGAUCAGCCAGACAGGGACUGAGACACGGCCCUGACUCCUUUGGGGGGCAGCAAUGAGGGAUAUUGCACAAUGGGCGAAAGCCUGAUGCAGCGACGCCGCGUGGGCGAUGAAGUCCUUCGGGAUGUAAAGCCCUUUUCUGGGGGACGAUACGGACGGUACCCCAGGAAGAAGCCCCGGCUAACUACGUGCCAGCAGCCGCGGUAAUACGUAGGGGGCGAGCGUUGUCCGGAUUUACUGGGCGUAAAGCGCGUGUAGGCGGUCCCUUAAGUCCGAGGCGAAAUCCGGAGGCUCAACCUCCGAGCUGCGUCGGAAACUGGGGGUCUUGAGGGUCGGAGAGGGGAGUGGAAUUCCUGGUGUAGCGGUGAAAUGCGUAGAGAUCAGGAGGAACACCCGUGGCGAAGGCGGCUCCCUGGCCGAACACUGACGCUGAGACGCGAAAGCACGGGGAGCGAACGGGAUUAGAUACCCCGGUAGUCCGUGCCGUAAACGAUGGUCACUAGGUGUACGUGGUAUCGACCCCACGUGUGCCGCAGCUAACGCAUUAAGUGACCCGCCUGGGGAGUACGGCCGCAAGGUUGAAACU
RNAcentral lists this ribosomal RNA (811 nucleotides) under uncultured Actinomycetes bacterium. RNAcentral describes it as "bacterial SSU rRNA". It matches the Rfam family "Bacterial small subunit ribosomal RNA", at positions 62 to 901 of the family's 1533-position model. The record is from RNAcentral. Lineage: Bacteria; Bacillati; Actinomycetota; Actinomycetes.